UGGCGGCCAUAGCGGUGUGGAACCACCCGAUCCCAUUUCGAACUCGGAAGUGAAACGCACCUGCGCCGAUGGUAGUGUGGGAGUUCCCAUGUGAGAGUAGGUCACUGCCA
This 110-nucleotide ribosomal RNA is filed under the name Lysobacteraceae bacterium. Lineage: Bacteria; Pseudomonadati; Pseudomonadota; Gammaproteobacteria; Lysobacterales; Lysobacteraceae. The record is from RNAcentral.